RNAcentral lists this non-coding RNA (26 nucleotides) under Rattus norvegicus (Norway rat). Lineage: Eukaryota; Metazoa; Chordata; Mammalia; Rodentia; Muridae. The record is from RNAcentral.
UCCGAAAGAAGAUCUGUUAGGAUGAU